This 276-nucleotide ribosomal RNA is filed under the name uncultured bacterium. Its description in RNAcentral is "partial 16S ribosomal RNA". It matches the Rfam family "Bacterial small subunit ribosomal RNA", at positions 44 to 334 of the family's 1533-position model. The record is from RNAcentral.
GUGCCUAACACAUGCAAGUCGAACGAGAAAGUGGAGCAAUCCAUGAGUACAGUGGCGUACGGGUGAGUAACACGUGACUAACCUACCCUCAAGUGGGGAAUAACUUCGGGAAACCGAGGCUAAUACCGCAUAACAUCUACGGAUCAAAUGCGCAAGCAGCUUGAGGAGGGGGUCGCGGCUGAUUAGCUAGUUGGCGGGGUAACGGCCCACCAAGGCAAUGAUCAGUAGCCGGCCUGAGAGGGCGCACGGCCACACUGGAACUGAAACACGGUCCAG